UUUCAUUUUCUGAGACCGGAAGUGGUCAUCAGCAAGGGUGGUCAGAUUGAAUCAGAGCCGAGGACUCUCUGUCCCGCCCACAUUUACCGGCUUCUGCUGUUUAUGGACGCUGCUACCGCUGCUGCUAACAACGUUAGCUUCCAAAAGUGGAGAUAAACUCUACAGUCUGGAUCAUUGGGAACAUCUGGUCUGAUGGACUGAGAGCUACAGAGAACAUGAACAUCCAGCUGUGGUUGUCUGAACAAUCUUCUCUCCAUCACUGUGAGGAAGAGCAGCACUGAUGUCCUCCUCAUGCUUCCAUUAAGAACAAUGAUGCUGCAGAUUCAGCUCCUCUCUUCAUAAUACUUGUCUUGUGACUGUUCAGUUUUUACACUUCACUGUCAGCAACACAUUAUUUAUUUCAUCCAUUUAUUACAUGUUUACACAUCUUUACAGUUCACAAUUGUUAAAUAAUGCAGUUUUUAAAUGUGCAAUGAAGGAAAUAAUGAAGCUCUUGA
Molecule: long non-coding RNA, 497 nt
Organism: Acanthochromis polyacanthus (spiny chromis)
Lineage: Eukaryota; Metazoa; Chordata; Actinopteri; Pomacentridae
Exons: 2
Source: RefSeq, a predicted model, not a curated record